Molecule: non-coding RNA, 174 nt
Filed under: Anaerolineae bacterium
Lineage: Bacteria; Bacillati; Chloroflexota; Anaerolineae
Description: 6S RNA
Rfam family: 6S / SsrS RNA
About the family: E. coli 6S RNA was the first non coding RNA to be sequenced, but its function was unknown until recently. It consists of 184 nucleotides that fold into an extended hairpin structure with a large single-stranded internal bulge. The 6S RNA specifically associates with RNA polymerase holoenzyme containing the sigma70 specificity factor.
Source: RNAcentral
UUUGUCCUGCCGUGCGCGUGAUGGCGCAAUGCGUUUGAGCCAACACCCAAAAUUUGGGAGUCAAACGUCUGCUGAUAAGGUGAUAGGCAUCCGCCAAGACCGAUUCAUCAGUCUGACACCCACCUGCGAAAGCAGGUUCAAAAACAUCGCGACACACGACAUGGCGGGUCCCUC